Molecule: ribosomal RNA, 445 nt
Filed under: Fusarium langsethiae
Lineage: Eukaryota; Fungi; Ascomycota; Sordariomycetes; Hypocreales; Nectriaceae
Description: eukaryotic LSU rRNA
Rfam family: 5.8S ribosomal RNA (bases 80-233)
Source: RNAcentral
AAAACGGGACGGCCCGCCGCAGGAAACCCUAAACUCUGUUUUUAGUGGAACUUCUGAGUAUAAAAAACAAAUAAAUCAAAACUUUCAACAACGGAUCUCUUGGUUCUGGCAUCGAUGAAGAACGCAGCAAAAUGCGAUAAGUAAUGUGAAUUGCAGAAUUCAGUGAAUCAUCGAAUCUUUGAACGCACAUUGCGCCCGCCAGUAUUCUGGCGGGCAUGCCUGUUCGAGCGUCAUUUCAACCCUCAAGCCCAGCUUGGUGUUGGGAUCUGUCCUUACCGACAGUCCCCAAAUUGAUUGGCGGUCACGUCGAGCUUCCAUAGCGUAGUAAUUUACACAUCGUUACUGGUAAUCGUCGCGGCCACGCCGUUAAACCCCAACUUCUGAAUGUUGACCUCGGAUCAGGUAGGAAUACCCGCUGAACUUAAGCAUAUCAAUAAGCGGAGGA